RNAcentral lists this ribosomal RNA (468 nucleotides) under uncultured bacterium. Its description in RNAcentral is "partial 16S ribosomal RNA". It matches the Rfam family "Bacterial small subunit ribosomal RNA", at positions 28 to 507 of the family's 1533-position model. The record is from RNAcentral.
GACGAACGCUGGCGGCGUGCUUAACACAUGCAAGUCGAACGGAAAGGCCCUGCUUUUGUGGGGUGCUCGAGUGGCGAACGGGUGAGUAACACGUGAGUAACCUGCCCUUGACUUUGGGAUAACUUCAGGAAACUGGGGCUACUACCGGAUAGGAGCUCCUGCUGCAUGGUGGGGGUUGGAAAGUUUCGGCGGUUGGGGAUGGACUCGCGGCUUAUCAGCUUGUUGGUGGGGUAGUGGCUUACCAAGGCUUUGACGGGUAGCCGGCCUGAGAGGGUGACCGGCGACAUUGGGACUGAGAGACGGCCCAGACUCCUACGGGAGGCAGCAGUGGGGAAUAUUGCACAAUGGGCGGAAGCCUGAUGCAGCGACGCCGCGUGCGGGAUGACGGCCUUCGGGUUGUGAACCGCUUUCGCCUGUGACGAAGCGUGAGUGACGGUAAUGGGUAAAGAAGCACCGGCUAACUACGUG